Molecule: long non-coding RNA, 3542 nt
Organism: Meleagris gallopavo (turkey)
Lineage: Eukaryota; Metazoa; Chordata; Aves; Galliformes; Phasianidae
Source: RefSeq, a predicted model, not a curated record
AUUCUGUGUUCAUUUCAUGAUUCUAUGACUGUAGAGCUUUAACAGAUAGGAAUAGAAAAUUAUUUACAUGGUGCUCACACUCUGGGGUUAUCUGAGGCCGUAAGCACCUGAUACCAGCAGGGAGACCAUAUUUUCAUUUAAGCAGUCCAAAUGCCAUGUUGUUACUGUAAUAUUAAUUUGUGGAGUCUAGAGACAAUCUGUUACCUGUCAUAAAUGGAGAAGUCAUUGUGAAAUGGGGAUUCCUUAGUGAUAUUUACGUCUGAGGAUGUUAAAAAUAAAAAAAAACUUUUGCAGUGCAACUGGAAGUGUUUCCUGGAAAUGAAGAUAUUGCACUGAAUUAUAAUUAAAAAUUGAAUUCCUAAAAGCAAAUGGAUGUGAAAACAAGGUAUCAAACAACCCCUGCAUACCAGAAGUGACCCAUCUGGUGACAAGUUUCAAGUAUCUCACAUGUUCACACAAGAACUGAACGAAGUUCAAUCAACUUCAGUAAUUGAAGAGAUGGAGAAGUAGGAAAAGAGGGGCUUCCAAGUAAAUCCCUCAGAUAGCGUCAUUUGCACUCAGUAUGUUAGCAGCCCCCAAAUAUAACUAAUGAGACACUGAGAGGAGAGUGCAGGGCAGUAGCUCUUUCCAACUGAACUCCAUCCUGAGUCAGAAUACAACCCCAGAAGAAAUGCCAUAUGACUACUAGGAGUAGUUCAUUUUCAGGUGUAUCUUGAUGCUGCCUUUCUAUUACCUCUCUUCAUAGCCUCUUAGGCUACUGUAGCCAUUUAACUCAGCUGCAAUUCAGCAGAUAAAUACGAACAGCUUAUGUUUCCAACGGAUUUAAAGGAAAGUGGAAGGUGUUUUGUAGAGGAACAGGAGUCAGACCACUGAAACAGCACCUAAAAAGUAUGAGCACCUCUACAUCAUUUAUUUUGUUUACAGUCUGUAAGAGGAAUAACUAGUUGUGCGGCUGUUUUAUGUAUUUCUUUUUAUUUUCUUCUCCCACGCAGCAGCGAGGAAGAGAGAAAUAUUUUUGAAACUGGGCACAGUAGAGCCAUCCACACCAGACUGCAUCUGGCCACUGUAGCUCUGUCUGCAGGGUAACUGCAUGCAACGAAAGAUGGGCAAACUACCUGGGAACAAAGUAAGCACAUACGAAGACAGUUCCAGCUGUGCUGUCUGUGCACAGCCCCAAAUGUGAGAGACUGUGGCACUCUGGAAUGUAUACCAAAUGCGUGUCCUUUGAUGCGGCAAAUGCAAAUUUCAGCAGAUUUCUGGUGCCUACAGGCAAGUUUCUAUUUAUUUGUUAACUGUGGUAAAGAUUGCUAUGUGCCCCAAGUACAAACAUUGGGCAUUUUUUAAGAGUUUGUGCUUUUGUGUAAUAGGCAACAUUUAUGAAAACUAAAAUUAAGCCGGAGCAGAAACAAAACUUGGAAAGGAACUAAAAGAUAUUGGAUCACAUAAAGUCAUUUUGGGUUUCUCAUAUGUCAAGCUUUUCAUGUAUACAUUUAUGCUUAGUUCCAGUUUGAAAUAAACAGAUGGCAGACCCCCUAAGUCAUACCAUCAGAUGAGAGAGAGCAAAUGCAUGGGAUGCUUUGAAAUCACAAUAAAAGCCCCUAAAUUUGGCAUUAGCUCCUCUGGCUAAAAUUGUAUAUGUAUAUUAGUGAGACAUGAAAGGUAAAUACAAAGAUAUAUGGAGGCUCUUUGAAGUAAAAUAUCUGAAGUAAUCCUACAGGUUGCAUCAGAACCUAUCAAAUCAUUGCCUGCAAAUAUGAAAGAGGUAAGGUAUCCAGGGAUGAAAAUAUAGAAAGCCAAGACAUGAACAAGUUUCUUGCAAUUUUUUUUUCCAGAUUUUGAGCUUAAUAAUGUAUUGCUUAACAGCAGGAACAGGAAUCUAGAGGAGCCCACUGCUGCCUUCACUGUGCUGUCAUUUCUUCUAAAAUACAAUACAGUACAAUACAAUAAAAUAAACAACUAAUGCAGCUGAUACCUCAAAUUACAUGAAAGCUGUGCUCUUCAAACGUUUAUAAAUCUGAUUUUCCAAAUUAUUACAGGUUCAGGGGUAUCUGGUGCCUAAGUCCUACUGAUUCAUAAGAGCUUGUAGCUUCUGAAUCUCAAGUUAAGGCAGUAGAAGGAAGCUCGGGCUUGGGAUCAGUUGCUGGGAUUGCCAGGGUAAACCUCAAAUAGCUCUGAUGCUUACAGUGCCUUGGCAGAACAUGUUUUAUUCGCCAUAUGGAUAGGUCCAAAGUCUCCAGCUAGUCUCCCUGCCCUUGCAACGAUGUCAGAAAAAAAACUAGUACAGCAUUUCCACACAAGGCUGAUAUUAUUUGCUGCACAGGCAAAUGGGAUCCGGCUUCAGCUUGAGAUGUCUGAGAAUGGCUUCCUGUGGUAGUGUGGAUGUCACAGAACUGUGAUUCCUAGAACAACCUGGUGCUCUUGGGACUACAUAGCCAAGGAAAGAGCAGACACAGCAAAAGUCACCUACCUGCUUCUUUAGGUCAUCAUGCAGAUUGACUUUAAAGUAAUGAAAAAAGCUGCUUAAUUCCUUGCUGGCCCUUUACUCACCAACAUCCCUGUACAGCCCAACUUGUCUUCUCCCCUUUAGUUCACCUUGGCUAAUUCAGGUGGUUAUUGGAUUUCUUAGGAUUCUUCAAGCUGUGCAUAACUUUCCCCACCUGCUGCAGAACAGCCUGUAUUCCUGACUCAAGCAUUACCUCUCAUUAGACACAGAGCACGAUGAACUAGGUACUGCUAUGGAAAUACACAUUUCAAGAUACUUCAUUCCCAUUAACUGACCAAUUCUGAAAACAAUGCAUUUUAACUCAGGUCACAACAGCACUUUUCCAGGUGUUCUCACUGAGGCCUACAUUACGUGACAGGGACUUGAAAUACGAGGAAAAGAUCCCCUCAAAGGAAAGAUGAGGCCAACUGGUACAUUUUGAAGUUUGUUUUCAGGAAAGUUUCAAUGUGUAUUCAGUUUUGCUUUAUUUGCAGCACUAUACUUAUAAAUUGCCACCGUUUCUUUUUCUUUUUUUUAUCAAAGACACUCUCUGGAAUAGUCUUCCUGAACAAAGUGUGCUCUUGCAGUGUCCUUUUCUUUAUUUCAGGUUGAUUGGCAAUUCACAAGGUGAACCCCGACCCUUCCAUAAGAUAGCUGCCCAUGUAGAGUUUCUUCUGGAACCAAAGUCAAACUCAUGAUCCCAAGAUACUGAAAUAAAUAAUGAUAAAAAAGGCAUGUUGGUUCACACGAUUUUCUACUUCUCGUCUAUUUUCUCCCUUGAUAUCUCUGCCAUCACAUUGAAUUAAGAGCUUGUCUCACUUACGGGCCUUUUCAGUGUAAGUAAGACACAGGCAAACCGUAACAGGAUUCCCUGACUGAGAUCCACAGCUCAUCAGCAGUCUACAACAUGUUGAACACUAUGUGGGGGAAACAGCUAUCUUUUGAAUGCAUGUCAUGAUAUGAUCAGCAAUAUUUAUCCACUUAAAACAAUGAUGGUCCCUCUGACCAACCUAUGGAUAGCUGACCAAACCAUGGAUGUCUGGAGGUCUAAGCAGGUGAA